GAUGAACGCUAGCGGCAGGCUUAACACAUGCAAGUCGAGGGGUAUAGUUCUUCGGAACUAGAGACCGGCGCACGGGUGCGUAACGCGUAUGCAAUCUACCUUUUGCAGAGGGAUAGCCCCAGAGAAAUUUGGAUUAAUACCUCAUAGUAUAGCAGUUUCGCAUGAAACCACUAUUAAAGUCACAACGGUGAAAGAUGAGCAUGCGUCCCAUUAGCUAGUUGGUAAGGUAACGGCUUACCAAGGCAACGAUGGGUAGGGGUCCUGAGAGGGAGAUCCCCCACACUGGUACUGAGACACGGACCAGACUCCUACGGGAGGCAGCAGUGAGGAAUAUUGGACAAUGGGCGCAAGCCUGAUCCAGCCAUGCCGCGUGCAGGAUGACGGUCCUAUGGAUUGUAAACUGCUUUUAUACAGGAAGAACACUACUUCGUGAAGUAGCUUGACGGUACUGUAAGAAUAAGGAUCGGCUAACUCCGUGCCAGCA
This 484-nucleotide ribosomal RNA is filed under the name uncultured bacterium. Its description in RNAcentral is "bacterial SSU rRNA". It matches the Rfam family "Bacterial small subunit ribosomal RNA", at positions 28 to 513 of the family's 1533-position model. The record is from RNAcentral.